Molecule: transfer RNA, 65 nt
Filed under: Dipodomys ordii (Ord's kangaroo rat)
Lineage: Eukaryota; Metazoa; Chordata; Mammalia; Rodentia; Heteromyidae
Rfam family: tRNA
About the family: Transfer RNA (tRNA) molecules are approximately 80 nucleotides in length. Their secondary structure includes four short double-helical elements and three loops (D, anti-codon, and T loops).
Source: Rfam by way of RNAcentral
GGUGGCUCAGUGGUAGAGUGCUUGCUUUGCAUGCAUAAGGUCCUGGGUUCGAGUUCUCAGCACCA